This 253-nucleotide ribosomal RNA is filed under the name uncultured bacterium. RNAcentral's name for it is "partial 16S ribosomal RNA". It matches the Rfam family "Bacterial small subunit ribosomal RNA", at positions 524 to 776 of the family's 1533-position model. The record is from RNAcentral.
UACGGAGGGGGCGAGCGUUAUUCGGAAUUAUUGGGCGUAAAGGGCGCGUAGGCGGCUGUACAAGUCAAAGGUGAAAUCCCUCGGCUCAACUGAGGAACUGCCUUUGAAACUGUACGGCUUGAGGCCGGGAGGGGGUAGCGGAAUUCCCAGUGUAGCGGUGAGAUGCGUAGAUACUGGGAGGAACACCAGUGGCGAAGGCGGCUACCUGGACCGGUUCUGACGCUGAGGCGCGAAAGCGUGGGUAGCAAACAGG